ACGCUGGCGGCAGGCCUAACACAUGCAAGUCGAGCGGUAGCAUAGGAGAGCUUGCUCUCUGGGUGACGAGCGGCGGACGGGUGAGUAAUGUCUGGGAAACUGCCUGAUGGAGGGGGAUAACUACUGGAAACGGUAGCUAGUACCGCAUGACCUCGCAAGAGCAAAGUGGGGGACCUUCGGGCCUCACGCCAUCGGAUGUGCCCAGAUGGGAUUAGCUAGUAGGUGGGGUAAUGGCUCACCUAGGCGACGAUCCCUAGCUGGUCUGAGAGGAUGACCAGCCACACUGGAACUGAGACACGGUCCAGACUCCUACGGGAGGCAGCAAUGGGGAAUAUUGCACAAUGGGCGCAAGCCUGAUGCAGCCAUGCCGCGUGUGUGAAGAAGGCCUUAGGGUUGUAAAGCACUUUCAGCGAGGAGGAAGGCGCUGUAGUUAAUAGCUGCAGCGAUUGACGUUACUCGCAGAAGAAGCACCGGCUAACUCCGUGCCAGCAGCCGCGGUAAUACGGAGGGUGCAAGCGUUAAUCGGAAUUACUGGGCGUAAAGCGCACGCAGGCGGUUUGUUAAGUCAGAUGUGAAAUCCCCGAGCUUAACUUGGGAACUGCAUUUGAAACUGGCAAGCUAGAGUCUUGUAGAGGGGGGUAGAAUUCCAGGUGUAGCGGUGAAAUGCGUGGAGAUCUGGAGGAAUACCGGUGGCGAAGGCGGCCCCUGGACAAAGACUGACGCUCAGGUGCGAAAGCGUGGGGAGCAAACAG
Molecule: ribosomal RNA, 752 nt
Filed under: uncultured bacterium
Lineage: Bacteria
Description: bacterial SSU rRNA
Rfam family: Bacterial small subunit ribosomal RNA
Source: RNAcentral